CGGCAACAGCUCAAAUUUGAAAUCUAGCUCCUUUGGGGGUCCGAGUUGUAAUUUGUAGAGGGCGCUUUGGCGUUGGCAGCAGUCUAAGUUCUUUGGAACAGGACGUCGCAGAGGGUGAGAAUCCUGUAUGUGAUUGCGUGCCUUCACCGUGUAAAGCCCCUUC
This 163-nucleotide ribosomal RNA is filed under the name Pleosporales sp. RNAcentral describes it as "partial large subunit ribosomal RNA". It matches the Rfam family "Eukaryotic large subunit ribosomal RNA", at positions 99 to 258 of the family's 3401-position model. Lineage: Eukaryota; Fungi; Ascomycota; Dothideomycetes; Pleosporales. The record is from RNAcentral.